This 947-nucleotide ribosomal RNA is filed under the name uncultured bacterium. Its description in RNAcentral is "bacterial SSU rRNA". It matches the Rfam family "Bacterial small subunit ribosomal RNA", at positions 523 to 1482 of the family's 1533-position model. The record is from RNAcentral.
AUACGGAGGAUCCGAGCGUUAUCCGGAUUUAUUGGGUUUAAAGGGAGCGUAGGUGGACUGGUAAGUCAGUUGUGAAAGUUUGCGGCUCAACCGUAAAAUUGCAGUUGAUACUGUCAGUCUUGAGUACAAUAGAGGUGGGCGGAAUUCGUGGUGUAGCGGUGAAAUGCUUAGAUAUCACGAAGAACUCCGAUUGCGAAGGCAGCUCACUGGACUGCAACUGACACUGAUGCUCGAAAGUGUGGGUAUCAAACAGGAUUAGAUACCCUGGUAGUCCACACAGUAAACGAUGAAUACUCGCUGUUUGCGAUAUACAGUAAGCGGCCAAGCGAAAGCAUUAAGUAUUCCACCUGGGGAGUACGCCGGCAACGGUGAAACUCAAAGGAAUUGACGGGGGCCCGCACAAGCGGAGGAACAUGUGGUUUAAUUCGAUGAUACGCGAGGAACCUUACCCGGGCUUAAAUUGCAGUGGAAUGAUGUGGAAACAUGUCAGUGAGCAAUCACCGCUGUGAAGGUGCUGCAUGGUUGUCGUCAGCUCGUGCCGUGAGGUGUCGGCUUAAGUGCCAUAACGAGCGCAACCCUUAUCUUCAGUUACUAACAGGUCAUGCUGAGGACUCUGGAGAGACUGCCGUCGUAAGAUGUGAGGAAGGUGGGGAUGACGUCAAAUCAGCACGGCCCUUACGUCCGGGGCUACACACGUGUUACAAUGGGGGGUACAGAAGGCAGCUAGCGGGUGACCGUAUGCUAAUCCCAAAAGCCUCUCUCAGUUCGGAUCGAAGUCUGCAACCCGACUUCGUGAAGCUGGAUUCGCUAGUAAUCGCGCAUUAGCCACGGCGCGGUGAAUACGUUCCCGGGCCUUGUACACACCGCCCGUCAAGCCAUGGGAGCCGGGGGUACCUGAAGUACGUAACCGCAAGGAUCGUCCUAGGGUAAAACUGGUGACUGGGGCU